GACGAACGCUGGCGGCGUGCUUAACACAUGCAAGUCGAGCGGUAAGGCCCUUUCGGGGGUACACGAGCGGCGAACGGGUGAGUAACACGUGGGUGACCUGCCCUCAGCUCUGGGAUAAGCCUGGGAAACCGGGUCUAAUACUGGAUAUGACUCCAUGACGCAUGUUGUGGGGUGGAAAGCCUUGUGCGGCUGAGGAUGGGCCCGCGGCCUAUCAGCUUGUUGGUGGGGUGANGGCCUACCAAGGCGACGACGGGUAGCCGGCCUGAGAGGGCGACCGGCCACACUGGGACUGAGACACGGCCCAGACUCCUACGGGAGGCAGCAGGUGGGGAAUCUUGCGCAAGUGGGACGAAAGCCUGACGCAGCGACGCCGCGUGAGGGAUGACGGCCUGG
This 393-nucleotide ribosomal RNA is filed under the name uncultured bacterium. RNAcentral describes it as "bacterial SSU rRNA". It matches the Rfam family "Bacterial small subunit ribosomal RNA", at positions 28 to 419 of the family's 1533-position model. The record is from RNAcentral.